This 4838-nucleotide long non-coding RNA is filed under the name Octopus vulgaris (common octopus). The record is from RNAcentral. Lineage: Eukaryota; Metazoa; Mollusca; Cephalopoda; Octopoda; Octopodidae.
AUUAAAUUUAACGAAAAGUGCAAAUUCAUAUAGUAUUUAUUUAAACAUUCUGGAUAUAAAUACACAGGUAUAUAAUUAUAUUUAUGCACACUAUUAUCAAUAAAUAUAUAAUGGAAAUGAUGCAAUAUGUGUGUGUGUGUGUGUAUGUAUUAUUGAGAUAAUAUACUAUUGGUUAUGAUAUAUAACUAUUCAGAAUGUUACCAUCAGUUUUGUGUUCAAUAUUGAUGACUAUUCCAACAUUCUGGCUGGAAGUGCAUAGUCUCAGUAGGCUAGCGUUAUAUACACCUGGCCAACCUGUCUUUAGAGUUGCUAAUAUUGUCCUGUAGUAAGGUAGCGAGUGAGCUGCCAGAAUUGUUACUGUGCUGGACAAAAUGCUUAGCAGCAUUUCUUCCAACCUUGUGUUCCGAGGUGGACUUUGCCUUUCUUCCUUUCAGGGUUAAGAUAAGCACCAGUUGAACACUGGGGUUUAUGUAAUCUACUUAGCCCCACUCCUGUAAUUGGUGGCUUUGUGUGAAAAUUUGAAACCAAUAUUUGGUGAGAAACUGAUGGCAACAUUCAGACCAAUAAUAUCCCAUAGCCAGUAAUAAAUAUAUUGUUUGAGGAUAUAAAAAUAUAUAUCUGUCCUAUAAUGUUGAGUGUGCUUUUAUUUCUGACAUAUGGACUAACUGGAAAUACAUAGAAACUUACAUAUAUACAUACUAUGUAUGUACAUACAUACAUGCAUACAUACAUACAUAUAUACAUACACAUACAUACAUACAUAUAUAUAUAUACAUAUAUAUAUAUAUGUACAUAUAUGUGUAUGUAUACAUACACAUAUAUUUAUGUAUGUGUGUGUAUAUGUAUAUAUAUAUAUCACAUGCACACACACACACACACAUAUAGUGCUGUAUCAUGCAAACAUUCUAAUAUAGUAACUGAAUAAUGGUGGUAUGAAAAAUUGUUUUCUAUUUAGCAAUGUAAGGUGUUUUCAUUUUGUAUGUUUUUGUUCAGAAUUUUAGUUUUAUAUGGUUUAUUUCCUGUCUAUACACAUAUGUAAGUGUGCAUGUAUGUAUUUAUGUAUGUACAUACAUAUGUGUGUGUGUUGUUGGCCAAUGAUCCAGAGAACAAGUAUUCAGUAUAAAUUUGGAAUGCAACAGAUUAAGCUAAUCAAGUGGCCUGUUACACUGGAGUUGUGAGGGCGCGUGGCUUAGUGGUUAGGGCAUUCGGCUCAUGAUCGUAAGGUUGUGAGUUCGAUUCCCGGCGACGCGUUGUGUCCUUGAGCAAGACACUUUAUUUCACGUUGCUCCAGUCCACUCAGCUGGCAAAAAUGAGUUGUACUUGUAUUUCAAAGGGUCAGCCUUGUCACUCUCUGUGUCACGCUGAUUAUCCCCGAGAACUACGUUAAGGGUACACGUGUCUGUGGAAUGCUCAGCCAUUUGCACGUUAAUUUCACGAGCAAGCUGUUCCGUUGACCGUAUCAGAUGAGACCCUCGUCGUCGUAACCGGCAGAGUCUUUACACUGGAGUUACCAUGGCAUUCCACUGCUUCUUCAGAAAUGUCAAACUGUUACCACUGUAGAAACUCCAGAGCAAGAAACCAUUAGAUCAGCUUAAAUAAACAAAAAAACACUACAGGUGUUUGUGUGUAUGUGUGUAUGUGUGUAUGUGAGUGCGUGUGUGUGUGUAUGUAUGUAUGUGUGUGUAUAUAUAUAUAAUUUUAUUUAUGCGCCCUUUUCAAGCCUAGGUUCAUGGGCCCGGUUUCCUGGUUUCUGUGGCGUAUGUAUUCCCCCCAGCUGGAUGGGAUGACAGUCCAUCACAGCAUUACUCAAGAAACAGGAAGAGAGAGUGAGAGAAAGUUGAUGCUGUUGACACUGUUGGAUGAUGUGGUGUUGCUUUUGAUGCUGAAACCAUGAAGAUCCUCGAACAAGCAGCUGAAGAUAGUGUAUUAUAUUUUUAUAUAGCGUCUGCUUUUUUUCUUUUACAUUGUUGUCUCUAUUCUUUGUCACUGUUGAUAGUUCCACAACUAAUUUCAGAGAUUUUGUUGUUUCAUCCAAGGGGUUGUUAGAGUAUUGUCAAGAAGCUGUUUGUGAUGGGUGAUAGAUUUUUGUAAGGAUAGUUUUGUUUGGGGCUUUUCUUGUUUAUAACAGAUGCGAGGUAUAUACAUAUGUAUGUAUGUAUGUAUGUAUGUAUGUAUGUAUAUUUGUAUAUAUCCAUAUAUAUAUAUUUUGAAAACAGCUUUUUAUAUCCCCACUAUUCACACACACACACACACACACACACACACACAUUUGUAUGCAUAUUUAUGAGGUUAAAUGCAAAUGAGCUAAGUGAAAUAAUGCUAAUUGUUCUGUGGCAUGGAUAUAUACAGCAAAAGCAAAUAAUGGUAGAAAUACUAAAAUACUAUACAAUGAGAUUCUUGAUUUAUUGAAAUUAUUUUUUCUUAGAGAGAAGAAUAAGCAAAUGUCUUUUUGCCAGCCAUGACUCAUUGUAAAUGAAAUGGGAAAAAUAAUCUAAAGAUUCAAGAAUCCUUCAAAAUUGAUAUGCCAUUAAGGAGAGGACACUCUGUCUAGAGGAAAUAUGUAGGCACUGUUAAAGGUGUCAUGAUGACAGCAGUCAUCAAAUCCAGCAGAUGAAAUACUUAGACAAAUACAAAAAGAACGGAACAUAUUUAUGGCUUAUGUUAAUAUUCAUGAUGCAAGUGAAAUGUGCUAAGAGAAAUAACUCAGAGUGGCAUGGAUAUAAACAAUGAAGACAAAAAGAGUUAUAUAUAGAUAUAUUUUUUCUUUACAUGUUUCAGUCAUUUGACUGCGGCCAUGCUGGAGCAACGCCUUUAAUCGAGCAACUCUACCCCGGGACUUAUUCUUUGUAAGCCCAGUACUAAUUCUAUUGGUCUCUUUUGCCGAACCGCUAAGUGACGGGGACGUAAACACACCAGCAUCGGUUGUCAAGCAAUGCUAGGGGGACAAACACAGACACACAAACACACACACAUACAUAUAUAUAUAUAUAUAUAUAUACGACGGGCUUCUUUCAGUUUCCGUCUACCAAAUCCACUCACAAGGUUUUGGUCGGCCCGAGGCUAUAGUAGAAGACACUUGCCCAAGGUGCCAUGCACUGGGACUGAACCUGGAAUCAUGUGGUUGGUAAACAAGCUACUUACCACACAGCCACUCCUGCGGCGAAUAUAUUUUCAAAUAAGAAUUAGGUUCAUUCUUUCAUUACCCAUAUAAUGAUGCAUAUUUCCAGUUUUUUAAACAUUUAACAAACAAAAGACAAGUUUCUCUCUCUGCAUUUGAUACUUGUUUAUUACAGGUAAUUUUUAUCCCCUUAACUUCUCUCUGUGAGAAGUGAUUCGGAAUUGAAUCUGCUACUCAGAGUCUCACAAGAAUAUGUUCAGCUUAUAAUCACUCAAAUAACAACAGAUGAGCUGGCAAUCAGAUAAUUUAUCCACUGGUCAUUUUGCUAAUACAAAGAGAAACAAUUAAAAAUUACUUUAAUUAAAAUGUUAUUUAGAUUGCAAAACAAAACUUUCAUAUUCUCAUGUUUGAAAAAUAUAUCAGUUUAUAUAUAUACAUGCACACACAUAUAUAUGUCACUGUAUGCAUAUAUAUCUAUAUCUACAUAUAUAUAUAUAUAUACAUACAUACAAGUGUGUAUUUGUGUGUGUAUUUUCAAACUACCUCAUUUGUUAUGAAGAAAGCACUUCUUUAAUCUUAGUUUUAUUAAUUAUUGGCUAUAUAUGGCAAUCUAUAAAAUCCUAAUAACCCUUUAAUUUUUCAUUGUGGUAUGUGCAAUAUCAAAACAUUAUCUUCUCUGCUUUUCUAUAGAUUACAUUCUGAUAAAAGUAAUUUUAUUUUCAUUAAUAUAUAUUUUUUAUUAUGGUGAGUUUUUUUUUUAUAAUACAGUAACUUUGAGAAAUAAAUCUGUGAUCCAGUUUUGUUUCCCAUUUGAAAUUUCUUUAAUUAUGUUAUUAAUGCCUCUCAGAGAGGCAUUAACAUCAGAAAUUCCCAUAUUCCACUUUUUAUUUUUUAUUAUUUUCAAAAAUCUAUAUUAAGUGUAAAUUGUACUUUACAUUUAGUUCUAUGACCUGAGAUUGCUAGUUCUGAAAUGAAAAUGUGUCUGCUUGGCAAAUUACUGGAAGUUGAUUGAAUCAUGAUGUAUUUGUUACAAGGAGAGUUAUUUUGAUUGUUUCCAUUUAUUCUGAAUAUUUCUAUUACUGGUCCUGGAGCACUGCAAAGAUAACAAUUAAGUGUAAAUCAGACAGCUAUAUGAAUGUACUGCCAAAGAUGGAAUAAAUUUUGAUUAUUUAUCAACAAUAUCCUAUUUUUUGAAAUUUAUUUAAAAAAAUUUAUGUUUAAUUCAUUGAGAAAAUUUCACUCUUCAAAAAAAGUGCAAAUAGGCCCAAAUGUGCCACCUGUUUUAAAGCCAUCAGCCCAGCAUUGAAGAUAACAUGAUUUGACAUGCUCAUUCUGACUGUAUUUUUCCUUGUGUAGUGUCACUCUUAGUCAGAAGAUAUAAGUGGAAAAGACUACAUAGUGGAUACCAAAGGCCAGAGAGGACCAGGAUGCAGCUACAUUGGUAACGCCUUAAUAAACUGCUCUAUUAAUUGAUAGCCAUGCAUUCCUUCUUUUCCUUCAGAAAGCACAAAAUUCCAAGACACUCACUGCAACCACCAACUUCUUAUAGACAUCAAAGUGGCAGUUUCCAAUGACUCCUGAUUUCUAGUUUCAUUUACCUCUUUAAUAAAGAAUUACACAAAUAAGAAAGUGCUGCAACUCUGGAAUUAAAAGAAAUCUUCUUGAUAAUUCUCCCUCCCCUAUGCUAACAUUUAUGCACUAUAAAGGCGCAGGAGUGGCU